GAUGAACGCUGGCGGCGUGCCUAAUACAUGCAAGUCGAGCGAACAGAUGAUGAGCUUGCUCCUCUGACGUUAGCGGCGGACGGGUGAGUAACACGUGGAUAACCUACUUAUAAUACUGGGAUAACUUCGGGAAACCGGAGCUAAUACCGGAUAAUAUAUUGAACCGCAUGGUUCAAUAGUGAAAGACGGCUUUGCUGUCACUUAUAGAUGGAUCCGCGCCGGAUUAGCUAGUUGGUAAGGUAACGGCUUACCAAGGCAACGAUGCGUAGCCGACCUGAGAGGGUGAUCGGCCACACUGGAACUGAGACACGGUCCAGACUCCUACGGGAGGCAGCAGUAGGGAAUCUUCCGCAAUGGGCGAAAGCCUGACGGAGCAACGCCGCGUGAGUGAUGAAGGUCUUCGGAUCGUAAAACUCUGUUAUUAGGGAAGAACAAAUGUGUAAGUAACUAUGCACGUCUUGACGGUACCUAAUCAGAAAGCCACGGCUAACUACGUG
RNAcentral lists this ribosomal RNA (497 nucleotides) under uncultured bacterium. RNAcentral's name for it is "partial 16S ribosomal RNA". It matches the Rfam family "Bacterial small subunit ribosomal RNA", at positions 28 to 507 of the family's 1533-position model. The record is from RNAcentral.